Small nuclear RNA from Sciurus vulgaris (Eurasian red squirrel), 106 nucleotides. Lineage: Eukaryota; Metazoa; Chordata; Mammalia; Rodentia; Sciuridae. The record is from Ensembl.
GUGUUCAUUUCAACAGUACACAUACUAAGAUUGAAAUGAUACAGAGAAGAUUAGCAUCAUCCCUGCCUAAAGAUGAUGACAAAUUCGUGAAUCACUCCACCACUGC